AACCUUGUCCAUUGUGAAAGAGAGAAAACACAAAUCAAAGAUGUAUCUGACCGCCCCUUUCCUUUCCUUUUCGUUCUCUCUCUCUCUCUCUUACUCAAAGAUUAAGAUUUUAGAUCUGGAUCUGGAUCUAUUCACCGUAAGCUGGUUGAAGAUGGAUCCCUAGCCGUCGCAUCUGGUGAAGACGGUGCUGAUUUCAACUAUCUGUGAUCUUAUGCUUCAAUUUCUCUUUUGUUGAUUUAUCAUUGUGUUCCACAGCCUCCUCAAGUUGCUGGAGUAGUCAAACAUAUAAGCUAUAUUCCUCGGAAAGAGAAAGGGAAGAAAGGAUCAGCAUGGAGGAUAUUCUGAUUGAAGGAGUUACAUGCUGCUACAACAAGCUUGGUGAACAUCCUGUAUUUCGUCGAAGAGUACAUCUGAACAUCCUUAAUUUCUUGAUUUUGUGUUGUUUGAUAAGUUUUAUGUGUCAAUUGUUUCUGUAAUUGAGUGAAUUUUAUGGAUGAUAGUUGCAUGUGUUGCAAGUAAUCUGGUAGGGUUUAAGUUGGUAGUUGGUACCAUUGCAUGCUAUGAGUUCUAGGUUUAUAGUUUGUGCUGAUAUUUUUGUUGUGCAAGUGUUUGAUCUGAAAAAAUAAAUCUCAUUCGUGUAUUAAACAGUUUCAUUUGUUUUUGGGGAUGUGUUUUUGAAAGAGUUUAUUUGUGAUUUGAUCACUUGAACAAUGAAAUUGAGAUAAUUUGUUGAUUAAGUAUGUGUUUAUAAAAGAACGUCUAUGCGCGAGGCGCGUUAAGGCGACGAGCAUGUGUUUUUGGAGGCCUUUUUUUCUCUUUUUUUAUAGUCGUUAGGUUUUUAAUGGGAUAAAUGGGUCACCAUCUUUAAAAGACCAAAGGAAUAUAAAAGUCGAGAAACGUAAGCAACGUUGCAAUCGGCUCCUCUCAUUGAGGUGCUUUAAAAGACCACUGGAUCUUCUGCAACUGUUGGGUUUUCAUAGAAACUACCAAAAAGCGGAUUCGAGAAACACAUCUGAAUCUUGGCGGUCACUCGGCUCCUCUCAUUGAGGUGCUUUAGGCAGGUAACUGUCUUUCUUGAUUGUCGUCUUACUUGCAUACGCCAAGUUAUGAUUGUAUUUGUUAAAAAAAAUCCAUUAACCUUCAUUUUUAAGAUAUUUUAACAAAUGAAACAAUCGUCUGUUUGUUAUUCUCCACAAGCAUUGAUAUUUUUUUAUGUCUAACAAACUUCCAUUAACCUUCAUCUAAUUUGCUUUUAUGAUUAGAUCAUUGAUAGCUGAUAUCAGUGUCUGUUUUAUGGAAUGCUUGAUUGUCAUAUUUAGUUGAAAUUGAGACGAGUAGCACCGCUGGUUGAAAUAAGGACAAUGAGUAGCAUACUAGCACAGGCUGAUCUAACUAUUUAUUAAAGAAUUAUGAUUUGUAAACUAUAAGACAUCCCAUUCAGAGUUUCAAUCAACCUGUCAUGUUUUAUAGUUUCAAAUAUUAUGUAUUUAAGCACCAUGGUUAUUGGCACUUGCCGAUUAUUGCUUAUUGCUGAUGAGCAAAAAGUGUUCUAAUGUGGAAUCCUGCACUAUUUAAGCUUCCCUCCAUCGAGUUGCUUCUCUUCAAUAAGAUCCGGCAGGAAGUUCAAAUCUAAACUAUUCUCAUGGAUUUUCUAUACUAUGUUUGAAUAAAAUAAAUUUAUUUAUUGAUGGAAUUGGUGUUACAGGCGGAUUGGAUGCAUGAAGUGGUCGUACGGUGGUUGUAUAACUUGGCUUUACGUUUGUGGUCAUAUGUAAGAGAAGAUGCCUCCCAUUGUGAUGUUGCAGCUGAAAAUGAAGUUGAUUCACACGCUAAGUCUGAAUCAGAUGACAGUAGUCCAAAAGACAUCUGGCGACUCAUUGACAAUGCUCGAACACCAAUUUACUUUCGAUCAUGUAGCAGAUGUAUCGUCAACUCAGACAAAUUGAUAUAUUCGAGCUUGUUGAAAACUGUCUUGUUGGAUUCAAUACCUCAAUAUUUUCAUAUAGGCAGACUGGGACCGGGAAGUACUACACGAUAUGGGGACCGACCAAUACGUUGUUAGAAGAGAAUGCGUAUAGUAAUGAACAAGGAUUGACGUCCCGUGUUUUCGCAUGAUUGUUUUCUCGCAUCAAUGAGGAACAAAAAAACACAUGCUGACAAACAACUACAUAUCAGUGCCGAUGUUCGUUUCUCUAGAGGCGAUGGCACUGCAGGCGAUCGAUUCCACGUCACUACACCCGCUCUCUAUCUCCAUGCCAUGGAAGAUCACGGUCCUACUGGCGUGAGUACUCGCCUCCUCCCAAUAGAAAGCAUCACUCAAGGUCUAUUACACCUCACAGAAAUUGAGAAAAAGGCAAAGUCAUGUCAGGGACAGGUCUCCUCCACCUUGUAAUGGCUCAAGGAGCCCAUGCCCAGGUCCUGAAAGAGUGAAACUGGCGCCAACGAGUCAUGGUCCUGAUCCACAUGACUACUCGAGAGGCAAACCAGACAGGGAUGCUUUGGUCAGCCCCUGGGUCAGCACUCGAGUGAUUUAGUUGCCAAAAGGGCUGUUAUGUUUUCAGAAUUUCAUGUUUUAGCUCUUGUUAUGGUGUUGGUAGUGGAUAGUUGUUUUGGUACAUUGAACCUAUAUAUUAUGGUUGUGCAAUUGCUAUUUUUAUUAGACUUUAUAUCAGAAGCAUGUUUUUCUGAA
Helianthus annuus (common sunflower) is the source of this 2689-nucleotide RNA transcript. RefSeq lists it as uncharacterized. The transcript is spliced from 7 exons. The record is from RefSeq and is a predicted model, not a curated record. Lineage: Eukaryota; Viridiplantae; Streptophyta; Magnoliopsida; Asterales; Asteraceae.